GGCAGGCCUAACACAUGCAAGUCGAACGGUAACAGGAAGAAGCUUGCUUCUUUGCUGACGAGUGGCGGACGGGUGAGUAAUGUCUGGGAAACUGCCUGAUGGAGGGGGAUAACUACUGGAAACGGUAGCUAAUACCGCAUAACGUCGCAAGACCAAAGAGGGGGACCUUCGGGCCUCUUGCCAUCGGAUGUGCCCAGAUGGGAUUAGCUUGUUGGUGGGGUAACGGCUCACCAAGGCGACGAUCCCUAGCUGGUCUGAGAGGAUGACCAGCCACACUGGAACUGAGACACGGUCCAGACUCCUACGGGAGGCAGCAGUGGGGAAUAUUGCACAAUGGGCGCAAGCCUGAUGCAGCCAUGCCGCGUGUAUGAAGAAGGCCUUCGGGUUGUAAAGUACUUUCAGCGGGGAGGAAGGGAGUAAAGUUAAUACCUUUGCUCAUUGACGUUACCCGCAGAAGAAGCACCGGCUAACUCCGUGCCAGCAGCCGCGGUAAUACGGAGGGUGCAAGCGUUAAUCGGAAUUACUGGGCGUAAAGCGCACGCAGGCGGUUUGUUAAGUCAGAUGUGAAAUCCCCGGGCUCAACCUGGGAACUGCAUCUGAUACUGGCAAGCUUGAGUCUCGUAGAGGGGGGUAGAAUUCCAGGUGUAGCGGUGAAAUGCGUAGAGAUCUGGAGGAAUACCGGUGGCGAAGGCGGCCCCCUGGACGAAGACUGACGCUCAGGUGCGAAAGCGUGGGGAGCAAACAGGAUUAGAUACCCUGGUAGUCCACGCCGUAAACGAUGUCGACUUGGAGGUUGUGCCCUUGAGGCGUGGCUUCCGGAGCUAACGCGUUAAGUCGACCGCCUGGGGAGUACGGCCGCAAGGUUAAAACUCAAAUGAAUUGACAGGGGCCCGCACAAGCGGUGGAGCAUGUGGUUUAAUUCGAUGCAACGCGAAGAACCUUACCUGGUCUUGACAUCCACGGAAGUUUUCAGAGAUGAGAAUGUGCCUUCGGGAACCGUGAGACAGGUGCUGCAUGGCUGUCGUCAGCUCGUGUUGUGAAAUGUUGGGUUAAGUCCCGCAACGAGCGCAACCCUUAUCCUUUGUUGCCAGCGGUCCGGCCGGGAACUCAAAGGAGACUGUCAGUGAUAAACUGGAGGAAGGUGGGGAUGACGUCAAGUCAUCAUGGCCCUUACGACCAGUGCUACACACGUGCUACAAUGGCGCAUACAAAGAGAAGCGACCUCGCGAGAGCAAGCGGACCUCAUAAAGUGCGUCGUAGUCCGGAUUGGAGUCUGCAACUCGACUCCAUGAAGUCGGAAUCGCUAGUAAUCGUGGAUCAGAAUGCCACGGUGAAUACGUUCCCGGGCCUUGUACACACCGCCCGUCACACCAUGGGAGUGGGUUGCAAAAGAAGUAGGUAGCUUAACCUUCGGGAGGGCGCCUACCACUUUGUGAUUCAUGACUGGGGUGAAGUCGU
RNAcentral lists this ribosomal RNA (1458 nucleotides) under uncultured bacterium. Its description in RNAcentral is "bacterial SSU rRNA". It matches the Rfam family "Bacterial small subunit ribosomal RNA". The record is from RNAcentral.